GAAAACUAAAAUUAAAGGGACAGAAUAGAAGGAGAUAAUGGCCAGACUGGAUAAGAGUACACCACUGCAUUCCCGCAUAGGCUACGUUUCCCUUGGGAACAAUGGGUCCUGGUUGCUGUGGGUUUGGUGCAACAUGGCAGUCCGCAUCUCACACCAGAUCCUCUGGGAAAGAAAAGAACAGUGAACAGUUCUAAUUUUUUUCUCUUUGAAAAGGCUUGUGUUUGAUUUGAACUAUAUUUGUAUGAAUAUAAUAAACACAAGUUGAUGUGAAAAGAUAUUUCUCUUUUAUAGAAUGUUCAUGUUCAUAGGGUAAGUUGCAGAUCAAAAUAUGCAGGUGAAUUAAUUUGUUAUUUAUGAUUGGGCAUAAUUUUAGUUCUUUGGGAAUAUUGAUUUUUUAAAUUUGCAACCAUUUAAACAUGUAUUUGUGUCACCAAUCAUAUGCAUAAUUUAAAACACUG
RNAcentral lists this long non-coding RNA (458 nucleotides) under Canis lupus familiaris (dog). RNAcentral's name for it is "lncRNA (ENSCAFG00030011482.1)". Lineage: Eukaryota; Metazoa; Chordata; Mammalia; Carnivora; Canidae. The record is from RNAcentral.